UUUUCGGGCUGUUGGUGUUCGGCCAGGGCUCUUUGGCUACAGUAGCCUGGGCCCUAAAGGCCAUCUAGUUGCUGAGUCUGUUUGGGGUUUUUACUUGGUGAGAAGAAGGCCUUGUCAUUCCAACAGUCGAUGACUCGCUUUGAUCAACUCCUGCCCAGGACUAGGCCUGAGCCCUGUCGUCGUACCGGCGAGGAUGUGCGUCUCCCCUGCCUUCAGGCUGUGCCCUGAGACCCAGUUGUGGGGCUGCCCAGCACCUGCCAUCCUGCUGGGAUCAGGUUUUCUUAGUGCUUGAGAAGACUCAGGAGGGCCUGUCCCAUGCCAUUGUUGGCCUUAAGAGCAAGUGAUUCCAGAAGAGGAGUGGGCACCACUCUCAUCCAGAGGCCCGUCCUGAGAGAAUAGCAUUCCUUUCGAACACCACGGCAAGUAGCUGCUCGUCUCCCAUCGGAAGGCAGCACUGGAUUCCUGGUCGGGUGGCUUCCAGUGGUCUUCAGUCUGUCGUGCACCGAUGAGAACUCUCCUUAUUGCUGUGAAGGGCAGACAAUGCAUGGCUGAUCUACUCUGUUACCAAUGGCUUUACUAGUGACACGUCCCCCGGUCUAGGAUCGAAAUGUUAACACCGGGAGCUCUCCAGGCCACUCACCCAGCGACGCUCGUGGGGGAAACAUACUAAACGGACAGACUCCAAGAGCUGCCACCGCUGGGGCUGCACUGCGGCCCCCCACGUGAACUCGGUUGUAACGGGGCUGGGAAGAAAAGCAGAGAGAGAAUUGCAGAGAAUCAGACUCCUUUUCCAGGGCCUCAGCUCCCUCCAGUGGUGGCCGCCCUGUACUCCCUGACGAUUCCACUGUAACUACCAAUCUUCUACUUGGUUAAGACAGUUUUGUAUCAUUUUGCUAAAAAUUAUUGGCUUAAAUCUGUGUAAAGAAAA
RNAcentral lists this long non-coding RNA (928 nucleotides) under Homo sapiens (human). RNAcentral describes it as "non-protein coding lnc-CCDC57-6:4". The record is from RNAcentral. Lineage: Eukaryota; Metazoa; Chordata; Mammalia; Primates; Hominidae.